This is a long non-coding RNA of Salvelinus fontinalis (brook trout), 1240 nucleotides long. RefSeq lists it as uncharacterized. The record is from RefSeq and is a predicted model, not a curated record. Lineage: Eukaryota; Metazoa; Chordata; Actinopteri; Salmoniformes; Salmonidae. The transcript has 4 exons.
UGUGCUGCCGGCAAACAUAUUACAUAAUCUAAAGAUCAAAGUACAAGAACAUAGGGAAAUAUUAUGCGUGAGAAAUCAUUCCUAAAGUUAAUCCUUACGAAUUGCUUUAUUGAAUGAACGAUGGCGUUUGACCGUCACCUUUCUUUUCCGGUGGGGCGCUCAUAGUGUGAAAUCAACAUAUAUCGGUAGUAACGGCAGGAACACUUUUGACAGAUGUAUUAUGCAUUUAUAAGAACUUCGUCUUCAGAUAAACAAAGGUUUUCCAGGAGGCUAUUGUAUGCAAGAGGGUGUACCGAAUUGGGUUUAGGCUUAACGUUACAGUAAAAUGUCACGAGUUAAAUCAGACUCACCCACCGCGGUUACCGAUGUACAUACAGGCUCAAAGAUGCAGAGAGUAAUUUACGUUACUUACCUCAUAGCUGUCCUGGAUAUCACAUGCAUGUUUUUACAGUUUUCCAUCACUCCUUAUUUGGCGAAGAAGCUGGGAUUUGACACCCUAUGGAUUGGCUAUUUGCAAACCAUGGUUGGUGUCGUCCAAUUGUUGGGAGGCCCGAUAUUUGGCAGGUUUGCAGACCUUUUUGGUGCCAGGGCAGCAAUGUGUCUAUCCUGCACUGCCUCUGUAGUCUACUAUGGGUUACUAGCGAUAGCUGACAGUCCUCUCAUGCUCUUCAUCCACAAACUCCCCGCUGUCUUGAUGCAUGGCUUGCCUGGUAAGUGCUACACUGCCUGUUGUUUAUUUAACCUUUAUUUUAGCAGGGAGUCCCAUUGAGAGCAAGGUCUCUUUUUCAAGGGAGCCCUGCAUGACAUGAUCCACAGCAAUUACACAAUCACAGUUAGAGACAGAUAUACUAACUGUUGUUCCCUUCAUACUCAAACUCCCAGAUAAGUCCCCAGUGUAUGUACCGUGCCUAGGACCUACUGUACUAGACAGCCCUCUAACAGAUCCUUUAGGACCUCCUGUACUAGGAUCUACUGUACUAGACAGCCCUCUAACAGAUCCUAUAGUAUCUACUGUACUAGACAGCCCUCUAACAGAUCCUAUAGUAUCUCCUGUACUAGGAUCUACUGUACUAGACAGCCCUCUAACAGAUACUAUGUGAUCUACUGUACUAGGAUCUACUGUACUAGACAGCCCUCUAACAGAUCCUAUAUGAUCUACUGUACUAGGAUCUACUGUACUAGACAGCCCUCUAACAGAUCCUAUAGGACCUCCUGUACUAGGAUCUACUGUACUAGACAG